Molecule: long non-coding RNA, 5053 nt
Organism: Gigantopelta aegis
Lineage: Eukaryota; Metazoa; Mollusca; Gastropoda; Neomphalida; Peltospiridae
Exons: 2
Source: RefSeq, a predicted model, not a curated record
GCCUGUUUUUCUUAAACGCAGGUGUACAAGUAUUUUAAAUAUAUAUAGUUACACGUGUGUAAGUCUAAAACUGGCUUUGUAAAUUCAGCCCUAUAAGUCAGAUUAACAUGUGACUAGCAGUUAUAUACCUGUCGUAUGGUUACGUGUGUUUGGCCUCUAUUUCAUGCAAAAAUUUACAUGAUUACGUGAUUUAUGCAGCAAUUAAAGUACAGACAAAAUAAAAUAGUAGCAAGGGAUCUUUUGUAUGCACCAUCCCACAAACAGUAUAGAAUAUACCACAGCCUUUAAUAUACCAGUCGUGGUGCACUGGCUGGAACAAGAAGUACAUAGCCUAAUGGGCUCACCAAUGGGGAUCGAUCUCAAACCAACCGCACAUCAAGCGAACUCUUUACCACUGGGCUGUGUUCCACCCCAAGUCUUAUUAUAUAUGCAGAUCUUUAAUGUUUUUAUAUUUAGAGUAAUUUAUUAGAAUAACAGGUAUUGCCAAAUAUUACUAAUUUAUUUACACUUGAAAGUGAUGACCUUUGUCAAUGCAGCUGUUGUCAAAACCACCUAAUAUAAUAGUGUUGAUUUAGGUGUGCUUCUGGUGAUCAACAAAUGAGUUAUUGGAGAGAAAAAAAUUAAGUAAAAAACAAAACAACAACAACAAAAUGUUAAGUACAAUUUCUAGAAAAUGUUCUUGACAAAUUUUAUCUGAUCCUGCCAGGACAUUCACUGGGGUUUGAAGGUGGCAAAAAUAGUACAGAAUAAUUACAUGCUCUCAUCUGGUGUAACCAGACAGAGACAGAAAAUGAGCUCUACUAAUUAUUAGUUGGCCAAGUCAUGGUGUUUCAAUCAUGCCAUCCUUUUCAUGGGAGUACUGUCAUAACUAGAUUGACUGAGUGGCAUCUGCAAUGUUUAUUGAUUUGUCAAUCCCACUCACCCCAUAUGAAAGGUCUGUAAUGUAUAUAAAAGUUAUUUCCUGACCAUCUAACACAAUUUGAUGCAACCAGUGGAUCAAGGUGAGAUUUAAAAAAAAAAAAUCUCAUCAUUUCAGUUUACACAGUCAUUUAGGGCUAGUGAAUUUUUAAUCAUGGCUAGUACAUUUUUAAAAAUCACUGAUCCCAUGGCUAGUGGAUUUUAUUAAAAUUCUACAAGUCCUGUAUCUCGAAUGUAAUGAUAUCUCUCUCAUACUGGCUGACACCAAUAAGUUUGAGAUAUACAGAGUUUUCUGUAUUUCACUGUGUAUAAUUAGUAACUGUAUAGAAUUUAACAAAAUAGUGUUCUUGUUUUUCAUUUCCAUGUCUGUCAUGGAAUUAAUUUUAUGGGUUAAAUAAAGUGGGCCAAAUUUACGAAGCCUGUUAUUCUUAAACGCAGGUGUUUAAGCUCUGUAAAUGUAUGUAGUUACAGGUGUGUAAGUGAAAAACAGGUGUUUAAGCUCUGUAAAUGUGUGUCGUUACAGGUGUGUAAGUGAGAAACAGGUGUUUAAGCUCUGUAAAUGUGUGUAGUUACAGGUGUGCAAGUGAAAAACAGGCUUGGUAAAUUUGGCCCAGUAAUUUUACAUAAACAGUAAUCUUCAGUACUGUUCCUGGCUUCAAAUGUAAGUUUUGCUUUUGGUGUCAUGAUUUAAAAUGACAUAUAGUAUCUUAUGAUUAUAAUUAUAUUUUUGUUGAUUUGUAGCAAAUUAGUAUAAUUGUAUUUUAUUUUUUUAUUUAUUUACAUAGCAUAUUUACUUUACAAAUUUGUUGGAUUUGGUUUAGAUAGUUAAUGUAAAUAAUAAUGAUGAUAAUGAUGAUUAUUAUUAUUAUUAUUAUUAUUAUUAUUAUUUGAAAUAUGUGCAAUCAGGAUGAAAUUUAUUAUGUAUGUGAAUGGCAUAAAACUGUAAAACGUUAUUUAAUUCUUAAAGAUAACACAUUUUAAUUGUUCCUUUUACAAAUGUGUAUCAAUAAAUGUUAAAACAAAAGUUAAUGACAGGAAAGGAUCAUAAUUUUAUUACUGUUGUGUCAUUUAAAUACAGUUACAUAUCUCACAAAAGCACAACCUAAAAACCAGUUUUAUUAAAGGUGCAGACCCUAAUUGUAACUUGUAAAAAUGGACACUGAGUUUAGUUAAUCUACAAACCUGUAACACAUUUGGAUAAAGUUACAACUGAGUGAAAGAAGUGUCUGUGACAUUUAGACCGGAAAAUAUCCUUAAAAAAUAGACGAACUCAAAUUAAUAACCGCUUCUUCUCAGAGGCACAUGUGUUUUUAAAAAUAUGAAAAAUGCAUUUUGUGGUAUUAGAAACAACAGAAUGACUAGAAACACUUUGAUUCUACGGAAAUGGAUAAUCUAAACAAUAAAAUAUAAAUAAUAUUUGAUUUCAGUGAUUAUAAAUGGCUCUAAUAGUGAAAUAUAUGCUGUAGUGUUUAAAACCUAGGGACUGUCCCUUUAAAUACACACACACACACACACACACACAUACCCACCCCCCAACAUCGUGUGUAGUUUAUUUUCUCAUGUCACAUAUUAAAGGGAGAGUAAACUCAAACAAGAGCUUUAUGUGUUGGAAAGACGCAUACCCGGAUCACCAACACAUACUGACACUUUAACAAAUGAUAAAUGCAUAAUUUUAGAGUUAAUAAAAAAACAUGAUUAUUCCUGCUAACUGGGGGCAGCCAUUUUCUUUUGUUUUCGGCAUGUCCGGAAUUCUAGUUUUAAAUUUCUUUAAUGUUAGGUCCUCUGUUCAGGCCUGUAGGAACGAUAUCUGAAAUGUGUGUAUGGGGGGAGGGGAGGGUACACCAUCUCUAGUGAGCUAACUAAUUUUGGGUGGGUGGGUGAGUGCAAAAUCCAUUUUCCUUCUGUGAUAAAUAGAGUACAACGAAAAAAAAAUAUUUUGUCCAAGUGGGGGCACUGCCCCCCCCCCCCCAUUCCUAUGGGCCUGCUGUUUGUUCUCUAGUAUUUAAUAAAUAAAGUGCAGUUGAAUUUUACAUAUUUAUAUUAUUGCAACAUUAGUCAUUUUUAAAAAAAGAUUAUAUAUUUUUUAGUUUUUAUCUUAGUUUUUUAGUUUUUAUUAUUAGUUUUUAAUACAAAUAAUGUAGCAUUUAUCCUUUUUGAAUUGAUAUAUACUUUAUGUAAUGUUACAGCUAAAUGCCUUGGGGUUUUUUCAAAUGAAACUACAAAGUAUUAUAAUUAUUUUUGGUUUUUACUUUAAACUUUCUUAAUUGGAAGAUUUAUCUGUUAAAAUUUAAUGUAAAAAUAAGAAUUUUUGGUAACCUAAAAGUGAACCCUUCCUUAUUGUGUUUACUGUUUAUCUAUUUAUAUUGGUAGUAAAUUGAUGUACAUCACACUACUAAUAUACUACACCAAUAGCCUAAAAUUUGUAUUUAAUUAUUAUUUUGAUGGUUCCUGGGUAUUUUUUUUUUUUUUAAUAAUGUGAAAGAAAACAUGAAAUGUUUUGACUGUGAUAACAUGGUGUGUUAUUUCUUGGUGUGGGUAAGUUUAUUUAACAAGUUCAGUUUUGUAAUAUUUAUUCACUUUACUCAUUUAUUUACUGAUAAACACAGUCCGUCCGUAUGUUCUUCAUAUACAACUUUAUUUGAGAAAUAUACUCUGUGUAUUACUGUUUUUUAUACAUGUAUUUACAAUUAAAAUAACAUCUCUUGUUGAAUUUUGUGGGUAUGAACACUAAAUAUGCUUGAAAGGAUUGUAUUCUUCAUGAUAUAUACCAUGAGAAGAGUCCCGUGAUUGUGAUAAUACGAUAAAUACUUUUGAAUUAAAAAAUUAAUAUAUUGAUAUGUUUUUUAAUGUUUAUUGAUAAUGUGUAACUAUACUGUCAAACCUGUGUAAGUGCCAACUGUAAUAAAUAGGCAUCUGGCCUCAGGUCACAGUUAUCUUCCCAUUUGGUUGACCAAAGUCCGGAAAUAUGUCUGCACAAGUAAUCUGCUAUUUGACUAUGAUUCUCAUGGCAGACAGCUUUGAAGUGGCAACUAUUAAACUUAAGUUGACAGGGGAGAGCGUGUAGUUUGCAAACAUAUGUAACUGGUAACAUAGAAGACGUUUUUGUGGUAAUUCCGUCUCAGGCAAAAGUAGUGCUUUUUGUGUAAAAUGGGUGUUCUCCGGCCAGGUUUAGUGGGUGUGUUUGUUUAAACCAGUAUCCGGGGAGAAAGAGCUGCUAUAUAUCACGCGUGCUCACUGGUUUGUGUAUCCUUUCUGGCGCCUCGUGCUAUAGAUCACAUGCGAGCACUGGUUUGUGUGCAUCUGUUUUGACGCCCCGUGCUAUAGAUCACGGGCGCACAUUUGUGUAUCCUGGGAGAAAGAGCUGCUAUAUAUCACGCGCGCUCACUGUAUCCUUUCUAGCGCCACGUGCUAUAGAUCACGGGCGCACAUUUAUUUGUAUAUCCUGGGAGAAAGAGAUGCUAUAUAUCACGCGCGUUCACUGGUUUGUGUAUCCUUUCUGGCGCCUCGUGCUAUAGAUCACGUGCGCUCACUGCUUUUUGUAUCCUUUCUGGCGCCUCGUGCUAUAGAUCACGUGCGCUCACUGGUUUCUGUGUAUGUUUUGACGCCCCGUGCAAUAGAUCACGUGCGCACAUUUGUUUGCAGGGGCGUAGGCUUGGGGGGGGGGGGGGGGUUCGGAUGACACACACACCCACCCCGCUGAAGCAAAUGGUCCGCUUUCAGAACUAAAUCAUUCAGGUUUAUACAUAUGGAGUUUCUGGUGGUGCAAAAACAAAAUAGAAAAAGGUCCACUUGGUUCAUAUUCGACCCCCCCCCCCCCCAGGUCCAGAUCAUGCUACGCCCCUGUGUUUGUGUAUAUGUAUUCUGAUGCCCUGUGCUAUAGGUUACGUACGCACAUGUGUUUGUGUAUUCUCGUUCUGAUGCUCCAUGCUAUAGGUCACGUACGCACACUUGUUUGUGUACAUUUAUCCUGAUGCCCCGUGCUAUAGCUUACAUGCACUCGUGGUGGCUGCUAAAUGCAUAAAACAGGUUUGACAGUAUAUUAUUUAAUGAUUAUUUGGAAUAUGUUUUACUACUCAAUUAUAUACACAUAUAAUUAUCACUACUUACGUUUGCUAUUAAAUAUGAUUUGAUAUCA